Long non-coding RNA from Brassica oleracea var. oleracea, 491 nucleotides. RefSeq lists it as uncharacterized. The transcript is spliced from 3 exons. NCBI's taxonomy places the organism in Eukaryota, Viridiplantae, Streptophyta, Magnoliopsida, Brassicales, Brassicaceae. The record is from RefSeq and is a predicted model, not a curated record.
UCAUCCUUGGGUUAUAGGUGUGCAGGAGGAGAUCGUAAGCCUGCGUAAGCGUGUUGAGGAGGCUGAUGAGGUGAUCAAGUGGGUGCCCAUUCUCAAUAAACAGAUUGAGAGUGUUGAGGCACAAGUUAAAAGGCUGACUUUGCUGCUUGAUAAGCUCACUGGUGAUGUGUAUAACCUCACAGUGCAGGUGGUUGCUCUGGAGAAUGUCUGUUUCGACUGAAAUCGAACAGGUGAAGGUUGUUGGUUCUGGAGGUCACGGGUUCUACAAGGUUUCUUGCUUCUGCAGGUCACGGGUUCUAUCUCUUUACUGGCGCAGCACGUUUUAUUCUGAGGUUGAUGGGUUCUGCUUCACGGGUUAUCGUAGUAGUAGUAAUAGUACUUAGUGUAGUUGAUGGGUUCUGCUUCACAGGUCACGGAUUGUAAUAGGCAGUAGUGUAGUUGUCACGGGUUGAACUGGUGACAACACAUUUUCAAGUACUUUUGGUUGUUUA